RNAcentral lists this ribosomal RNA (467 nucleotides) under uncultured bacterium. RNAcentral's name for it is "partial 16S ribosomal RNA". It matches the Rfam family "Bacterial small subunit ribosomal RNA", at positions 28 to 507 of the family's 1533-position model. The record is from RNAcentral.
GACGAACGCUGGCGGCGUGCUUAACACAUGCAAGUCGAACGGAAAGGCCUCUUUCGGGGGGUACUCGAGUGGCGAACGGGUGAGUAACACGUGAGUAACCUGCCCUUGACUUUGGGAUAACUUCAGGAAACUGGGGCUAAUACCGGAUAGGAGCUCCUGCUGCAUGGUGGGGGUUGGAAAGUUUCGGCGGUUUGGGGUGGACUCGCGGCUUAUCAGCUUGUUUGGGGGGUAGUGGCUUAACAAGGCUUUGACGGGUAGCCGGCCUGGGAGGGUGACCGGCCAAAUUGGGACUGGGAUACGGCCCAGGCUCCUACGGGGGGGAAGAGUGGGGAAUAUUUCCCAAUGGGGGGAAGCCUGAUGCAACAACGCCGGGUGCGGGAAGACGGCCUUCGGGUUGUAAACCGCUUUCGCUCAUGACGGAGCUUUGUGUGACGGUAGUGGGUAAAGAAGCACCGGCUAACUACGUG